AUCCGGCCAGUAGUCAUACGCUCGUCUAAAAGAUUAGGCCAUGUUUGUCUAAGUAUAAAUUCUUUUACUUUGAAACUGCGAACGGCUCAUUAUAUCAGUUAUAGUUAAUUUGAUAGUCCCUUACUACUUGGAUAACCGGAGUAAUUCUAGAGCUAAUACAUGCUUCAAUACCCAACUGUUCGCGGACGGGUAGUAUUUAUUAAAUAGAAACCAACCCUCUUCGGAGGCGCUCAGGUGAUUCAUGAUAACUCUGCGAAUCGCAUGGCCUCGUGCCGGCGAUGGAUCAUUCAAGUUUCGGCCCUAUCAGCUUUGGAUGGUAGGGUAUUGGCCUACCAUGGCUUUAACGGGUAACGGAAAAUUAGGGUUAGAUUCCGGAAAGGGGGCAUGAGAGAUGGCCACCACAUCCAGGGAAGGCAGCAGGCGCUAAAAUUACCCAAUCUUGGCACGGGGAGGUGGUGACAAGAAAUACCAAUAUGAGGCAUUCUGUCUUGUAAUUGGAAUGAGAACAAUUUAAAUCCCUUACCGAGUAUCAUUG
Molecule: ribosomal RNA, 535 nt
Filed under: uncultured eukaryote
Lineage: Eukaryota
Description: bacterial SSU rRNA
Rfam family: Eukaryotic small subunit ribosomal RNA
Source: RNAcentral